GAUGAACGCUAGCUACAGGCUUAACACAUGCAAGUCGAGGGGAAACGACAUCGAAAGCUUGCUUUUGAUGGGCGUCGACCGGCGCACGGGUGAGUAACGCGUAUCCAACCUGCCCAUCACUUGGGAAUAACCUUGCGAAAGUAAGACUAAUACCCAAUGAUAUCCCACGAAGGCAUCGGAAUGGGAUUAAAGAUUUAUCGGUGAUGGAUGGGGAUGCGUCUGAUUAGCUUGUUGGCGGGGUAACGGCCCACCAAGGCAACGAUCAGUAGGGGUUCUGAGAGGAAGGUCCCCCACAUGGGAACUGGGACACGGUCCAAACUCAUACGGGAGGCAGCAGUGAGGAAUAUUGGUCAAUGGGAGAGAGCCUGAACCAGCCAAGUAGCGUGCAGGAAGACGGCCCUAUGGGUUGUAAACUGCUUUUAUAAGGGAAUAAAGUGGGUCACGUGUGACUUUUUGCAUGUACCUUAUGAAUAAGGACCGGCUAAUUCCGUG
RNAcentral lists this ribosomal RNA (492 nucleotides) under uncultured bacterium. RNAcentral describes it as "partial 16S ribosomal RNA". It matches the Rfam family "Bacterial small subunit ribosomal RNA", at positions 28 to 507 of the family's 1533-position model. The record is from RNAcentral.